RNAcentral lists this ribosomal RNA (158 nucleotides) under Pyricularia oryzae. Its description in RNAcentral is "5.8S ribosomal RNA". The stretch from base 1 to 134 matches the Rfam family "5.8S ribosomal RNA", at positions 21 to 154 of the family's 154-position model. From Rfam's summary of the family: 5.8S ribosomal RNA (5.8S rRNA) is a component of the large subunit of the eukaryotic ribosome. Lineage: Eukaryota; Fungi; Ascomycota; Sordariomycetes; Magnaporthales; Pyriculariaceae. The record is from RNAcentral.
UUGGUUCUGGCAUCGAUGAAGAGCGCAGCGAAAUGCGAUAAGUAAUGUGAAUUGCAGAAUUCAGUGAAUCAUCGAAUCUUUGAACGCACAUUGCGCCCGCCGGUAUUCCGGCGGGCAUGCCUGUUCGAGCGUCAUUUCAACCCUCAAGCCUCGGCUUG